RNAcentral lists this ribosomal RNA (472 nucleotides) under uncultured bacterium. RNAcentral's name for it is "partial 16S ribosomal RNA". It matches the Rfam family "Bacterial small subunit ribosomal RNA", at positions 28 to 523 of the family's 1533-position model. The record is from RNAcentral.
GAUGAACGCUGACAGAAUGCUUAACACAUGCAAGUCUACUUGAUCCUUCGGGUGAUGGUGGCGGACGGGUGAGUAACGCGUAAAGAACUUGCCUUGCAGUCUGGGACAACGUCUGGAAACGGACGCUAAUACCGGAUAUUAUGAUUGAAUCGCAUGAUUUAAUUAUGAAAGCUAUAUGCGCUGCGAGAGAGCUUUGCGUCCCAUUAGUUAGUUGGUGAGGUAACGGCUCACCAAGACGAUGAUGGGUAGCCGGCCUGAGAGGGUGAACGGCCACAAGGGGACUGAGACACGGCCCUUACUCCUACGGGAGGCAGCAGUGGGGAAUAUUGGACAAUGGACCAAAAGUCUGAUCCAGCAAUUCUGUGUGCACGAUGAAGUUUUUCGGAAUGUAAGGUGCUUUCAGUUGGGAAGAAGAAAGUGACGGUACCAACAGAAGAAGCGACGGCUAAAUACGUGCCAGCCGCCGCCGUAA